Molecule: transfer RNA, 65 nt
Filed under: Thaumetopoea wilkinsoni (Cyprus processionary caterpillar)
Lineage: Eukaryota; Metazoa; Arthropoda; Insecta; Lepidoptera; Notodontidae
Description: transfer RNA-His
Source: RNAcentral
AUUUAAAUAAUUUAAUUAAAAUAUUGAUUUGUGGGGUCAAAAAUAUGAAUGAUUCAUUUUAAGUU